This 622-nucleotide ribosomal RNA is filed under the name uncultured bacterium. RNAcentral's name for it is "bacterial SSU rRNA". It matches the Rfam family "Bacterial small subunit ribosomal RNA", at positions 97 to 728 of the family's 1533-position model. The record is from RNAcentral.
GGCCAACGGGUGCGUAACACCUGAGCAACAUGCCCCGAACACCGGGAUAGCCCGGGGGAAACCCCGGGUUAUUACCGGAUACCUUCAUCAUUCCGCAUGGUGAGAUGAAGAAAUGUGUUUGCCCUUCUGGAUGGGCUCGCGGCCUAUCAACUACUUGGUGGGGUACAGGCCCUACCAAGGUAUCCACGGGUAUCUGGUCUAGACAGGACGAUCAGCCACUCUGGGACUGAGACACGGCCCAGACUCCUACGGGAGGCAGCACCAGGUAAUAUUGCGCAAUGGUGCGAAAGCCUGACGCAGCAACGCCGUGUGGGGGAUGAAGGCCUUCGGGGUUGUAAACCACUUUCGGGAGGGAAGAAAUUGACGGUAGCCUCCUAAAGAAGCCCCGGCAAACUACGUGCCAGCAGCCGCGGUAAUACGUAGGGGGCAAGCGUUGUCCGGAAUCAUUGGGCGUAAAGAGCUCGUAGGCGGCUCAGUAAGUCGCCUGUGCAAGCCCGGGGCUCAACCCCGGAACAGCAGUCGAUACUGCUGUGGCUAGAGUCCGGUAGAGGAAGCUGGAAUACCCGGUGUAGCGGUGGAAUCCGCAGAUAUCGGCAGGAACACCCGUAGCGAAGGCGGCCUU